UUCAUAUUACUGAUAAAGUGUUAAAACUUAGAUGAGAUGUUGGUGUUUUAUGGCUCACGAAUUCGCAAUAACGGAUACGUAUAGCAGUUCGUGUUAAUGACAUUAAUCCAAACUUAUUGAUGACGUGAUAACAUGGGCGUCGAAUCCAAUAUUAAUCAUGCUGAUGUUUUCUCGACGGGGUAAUGUGUAUAAAUGCAGUUAUAAAAUUAAAAGGGACAAGAUAGUCGACGUGACCCUCAUGUUUCCAUGGCAAUCAGUCAAAGUUACAUGUUACGCUUAUGAUCGCACCUGCGGUCAUUCGCGCAGUAUCCAUGAUUUUAAGCGGCACGAAACACUAAAGUUAACUCCUUUGUACGAAAAUAUAAUGUCGUAGCCCUUCAAAUUAGAAAAGUGAGGAUGAUCUUGUCAAUGCUGAGAUUUUCAUGCAUCAGCAGCCACUACAUCUGGAUCAGAUUGAACAAGAAACAGACAGCAAGGGUUGUCAGAUCAGAAACAGAAUGACACAAAAACACAAGAAACUUCACAGGCAGAUCAACAUGCAAUUUGAAGACGUGUGAUAAAAUACAGAGAGGUGAAGUAGUGUGUCUUUCCAGAUCCCCAAAUCAUUCCCCCUUAAAAGAUGAGCCUGAAGAGGAGAUUUGGGAAGAUGCUGUUUCAUAAGUCGCUUUGCCAGAUCACCUGUGGUCGGGAUGUCUGCUAACAAGAUGCCUUGCUGGUCUGAGCGAGUUCAAAGUCUUACACAGACAGUCCAGAAGUUCUGAAGUCCAUCUUUGAUUUCAUUGGUAAG
Molecule: non-coding RNA, 787 nt
Organism: Paramisgurnus dabryanus
Lineage: Eukaryota; Metazoa; Chordata; Actinopteri; Cypriniformes; Cobitidae
Source: RefSeq, a predicted model, not a curated record